Molecule: long non-coding RNA, 3382 nt
Filed under: Homo sapiens (human)
Lineage: Eukaryota; Metazoa; Chordata; Mammalia; Primates; Hominidae
Description: non-protein coding lnc-KIAA1328-11:1
Source: RNAcentral
GUUUGAGCCACUGAGCCCAGCCCAAACACAAGUAUCUUAAUUACUUAUUCGAAUGUUUUCCCACUAUAUCCCACUAGAGGGAGGGGAAAAAAAACAGAAAAUACAAAUAAAUUGCUGUCAAUUUUGAUUGGCUUUAUUUUGAUGUGAGUCAUUAACAUUUAAUAAGAACUUAAAAUCUAUUUUCAAAAAAUAAAACAAUAUAGUGAUUAAGAGUUCAUUCUCUAUUGUCUUGGUCAAAUUCUGUCAUUUAUUACAUGAAUAAUAUUGACAAAGUUGUCUUUAGUAUUCCUUUCUUUAAAAUGGAAGGAAUAAUGUUAUCCACUUCAAAGAACAGUAAUGAGGUUUAAGCAUUGAACACAGUGCCUGGCCUAUAUUAAGGGCUAACAAAUGUUUUCUACGUUACCGUUUGUUGUAAUUUACUAGAGCUUACCACUCUUCCUUCUUCUUAUGUAUUUUUUCUCUUUUCCUUUUCUUCUGCUUUUCCUUAUUCUUCUUAACCAUAAAAAUUCAAUAAAUGGUAGAUAAUGCCAGGAAAUACUCUAAAUGCUUCUUUUGUAUUAUCUGACUUAAUCCUCACCACAAUCUUAUAGGUUAGUACUAUCAUUAUUACAAUUUUACAAAUGGAAUAAUUGAGGCACUAAAAAGGUUGCUUAACCUGGUUGAUCACUGAGAUAGUGUUUUAUCUGAGAUUUGUAUUCAGAAAGAACUAUGUAGUCCUGCUCAUAAGCACUAUGCCAUAUUGCUUCUUACUUUAGUAUUUUUAACAUCAGAGCAAGGUUUUAUCUUAAGUUACAAUGCAACAUUAAAAUCUAAGUGGAAAUGAGAUUUAGAGCUUUAAUUUUUUAAAGGAUUGAGAAAGAAAGGAAAAAUCGUACAUACCAGCUUCAUGGAUGAGGUGAGAUAAUUAAGAGAAAGGAUACUGAAAGGCUAGAACAAAUGUCCUUGAGGCUGUCUGUGUCCGGUGCCUUCCCUAUAAGUAAAGGCAACAAGCUCUGUCUGUCCAGACAAACUCACUUGACUCAAGGUUAUGACUAUAAAACAGGACUCCACAACAACAUAGCUGUCCAUGUCCUUCCUUCUUUCGGUCAACCUCUUCUAAUCCUGCAAGUGUGAACUUUGCUUCAGCACGUGCUUCAGUCUAUGGAAACUGUCUCCUCCAAGCUCUGCAUCUCACUGAUUGUUCUGUUUUCAUGGAAGUCCAGAUGGCUGCUGGAGGUUUACUUGAGGUCUCUUUCUGUAGGAUAUAGUUAUACUUUUGUCAACUCGGUGGUACAUAAGUUUGUUCACUCUAAAAGAAGUUGCCUUAAAAAAAAAAGCUUUCAGAUGUUAGAGAGAACUGAGAUGCUGAUGUCAACACAUGAAAAAUUAGAUGCUUAACAAUGCAAGAAUACUUAUGGUAUAGAUUUUAACAUAAUUAUCAAUACAUUCCUUUCAGCUAUUUUCUCAUUUUAAUUGCAUACAGUUUAUGUCUUUGUUUUAUGUAGCUUUUUUUGAUGAAAAGAGAAUGGAAGCAGCAAGAUGAAAAUGAAAGAAUUAUGCAAAGGAACCGAAGCCUUGCCAAAUACAGAAUUUGUGGUUUCUACUUUGUGCAUGAUUUAUGCACAAUUACAUUUUUCAAUGUAUUAUCCUGCAAGCUACUUUGCUGUAUACUCCUGGUUUGUCUUUCUGGUGUCUGUGUUUGGAUUGAGACAAAUAUGCUUCUUUUGUUUUCAUUCUUGAAGCCAAUAACUUUUUAGGGAGAUGUGGAAUUUCUUUAUUUUAGAUUAAGCACUAUCCGUAAUUCCUUGUAUUACAUUUGGCUUGAUGUUGAAGAACUUUGUCACCACUCUGGUUGGUCUCCGCUGAACUUUUGCCAAGAAUAAAAGCAGAUCCACUUCAAAAGCUGAUCUUUUUUGCUGCUCAAGAUUAAAUCCAGAAUUUAGCUGGUUUCUGCCUUAGCUUGGUCAACAGAUAAAGGGUCAAGACUGGAAAAUUGCUUGUACCCCUAGGAGACAUGGAUAGGAAAAAAAGACUGAUGAGUUUUUAAGGUACAAACAGAGACCAUCACAGCACAUUUCACCACCUAGAUUAAAUAACUACUAGGCUGAAGAUGGAAAGUAAAAGGGAAGUCACAUAUUGAGCAAGAGAUGUUACCCCAAAGUCAAAGGAACACUUAUAUGGGGAAAUGGACAAAUACAAGCAGGCAGACAAUCAUGAUUAGGGAUGAUAUGUCAACAGGAAAUGGGAUCCAGCCAUCAGGCUCAGCUUUAUUGCUACGACUACAAGUCAGGAGAUUAUGAUCAUAGCAGAACUACAGUUCUAGAGGAUGCUAAAAAUGCACGCUGCCAAAUUGGUGGAGAGGUGUAGUGUUUGGCGCUGGCUUCUAGUGCAAAACUCUGUUACCAGAAGUCUUACUCAUGGAGGUAAGAAAGGGAAUUAAGGUAUUUGAAUGAGAAAGACUGGUGUUUAGGACAGGAAAACAUCAUCACGUUUAGAUGAACAGUCAGUCGGGGAAGCAUGAUGGAAAACCAUAUAAUGAUUCUAAAAGGGCUUGGAUAUGUCAUGUCUCAUGUCAGUAUUAGCCUUGGUGUUUGGAAGAGAAGCAGCAUAAAUGAUAGGAUUUAGUAUGGCCCACUGGGAAUUUUCUAAUAUUUAUCUUCUACCUCCUAGAGUAUGAAAUCAUGACAGAAAAUAUAAGCAGUUGUCUGACAUUCAAUUACUAGCUGAAAAAGGAAAGCAGAAACUAAUGCUCUCUAAUCAUACUUUAUAUCACAAAUGUGAGAUGAUUAUAAAACAUGCAACAUCCAUUUUCUCUAUCUGCAUGGGCAGUCUACAGAACUUUAACAAUAGUAUGUCUCCUUCUUUUUUUCUUUACCUAAGUCCAAGUGCUUCAAAUGUCCUUACCCUCCAGUUCAUAAAUGUCCUUACCCCCCAGUUCAUAAAUGUCCAUAAUUUCUACAUCUUCUUCAUCUCUAUUAAUAAUUUUUCUAUCUUAAUAACCUUGAUUUUAUUGAAAAAGUGAUGAACUCAUUUUUGGUGCAUUGCCUAAGACACAGGCUGUCAAAUCUUUCUUUCCAGGUAUUUUGUCCCAUUAAAAUCAGUGAAAAGAUUCUGUAUUUUUUUUUUCCUCGUGCUCUGUGGUUUUGUUCUGUUUUAUUUGGAGCUCCAAAACAUACAGUUAACCUUUAUGAAAACUAUUUCUUUUCUUCUUUUUUUUUUUUUUUUUUACUUCUGCUCAAAGGCCUUCCAAUCAAUGGAAUCAGUCCCACCCAGAUUAUCUAUGAUAAUCUCUUUUAAAGUCAACUGUAGAUGUUAAUCAUACCUACAAACUACUUUCAGAGCAACACCAAGUUUUUGGAACUGGGUAACAGGCAGAGGCUGGAACACUUUGGAGGGCUGAAAA